Molecule: ribosomal RNA, 448 nt
Filed under: uncultured bacterium
Lineage: Bacteria
Description: bacterial SSU rRNA
Rfam family: Bacterial small subunit ribosomal RNA
Source: RNAcentral
GAUGAACGCUGGCGGCGUGCUUAACACAUGCAAGUCGAACGGACUUUACAUGAAGCCUAGCGAUUGUAAAGUUAGUGGCGGACGGGUGAGUAACGCGUGAAUAACCUGCCUUAUACUGGGGGACAACAGUUGGAAACGACUGCUAAUACCGCAUAAUGUUAUUUGGGGGCAUCCCUGGAUAACCAAAGCUUUAUGUGCUGAAAGAUGGUCUCGCGUCUGAUUAGCUAGAUGGCGGGGUAACGGCCCACCAUGGCGACGAUCAGUAGCCGGUCUGAGAGGAUGAACGGCCACAUUGGGACUGAGAUACGGCCCAGACUCCUACGGGAGGCAGCAGUGGGGAAUAUUGGGCAAUGGGGGAAACCCUGACCCAGCAACGCCGCGUGAAGGAAGAAGGCCUUCGGGUUGGUAAACUUCUUUUACCAGGACGAACGACAAUGACGGUACCUGG